Molecule: ribosomal RNA, 563 nt
Filed under: uncultured Sebacinales
Lineage: Eukaryota; Fungi; Basidiomycota; Agaricomycetes; Sebacinales
Description: eukaryotic LSU rRNA
Rfam family: Eukaryotic large subunit ribosomal RNA
Source: RNAcentral
UAGUAACGGCGAGUGAAGAGGGAAAAGCUCAAAUUUUGAAUCUGGUGUCUUUGACUCCCGAGUUGUAAUCUAGAGAAGUGUUUUCCGCGUUGGACCGUGUACAAGUUCCCUGGAACGGGGCGUCAUAGAGGGUGAGAAUCCUGUAUAUGCCACGGACUACCAAUGCUCUGUGAUACACUCUCAACGAGUCGAGUUGUUUGGGAAUGCAGCUCAAAAUGGGUGGUAAAUUCCAUCUAAAGCUAAAUAUUGGCGAGAGACCGAUAGCGAACAAGUACCGUGAGGGAAAGAUGAAAAGCACUUUGGAAAGAGAGUGAAACAGUACGUGAAAUUGUUGAAAGGGAAGCGUUUGAAGUCAGUCACGUCUGUCGGAAUUCAGCCUGGCUUCUGCCUGGUGUACUUUCCGUCCGACGGGUCAGCAUCAAUUUUGAUCGAGGGAAAAAGACAUGAGGAAUGUGGCUGUCUUCGGGCAGUGUUAUAGACUCGUGUUGUAUGUCUCGGUUGGGAUUGAGGAACGCAGCGCGCCUAUUGGCCGGGGGUUCGCGCCCCUCGGUACGCGCUUAGGA